UAUGUGUGUGUAUAUAUAUUUAUAUAUAAAGCCACAAGUUCACAUUGGCUUUACGAAUAUCAUUAUUAUUGUGAUAACUGUGCUAAUGUUUAACAUAUUAUAGGCCUAAAAUGUAUUUUUAAGAUGCAGAUUAAAGAAAACUAUAAAUGAAGCUGCAUAGUUUUAUUUUAGUGUUACAUGCACCAAAAUGGGAUUUUUUUUUCCUUUUUGGCUAAAUUUUGGCUUGAGGAAAGAGUUGGCCUACACAUAAGAAAAACAACUUACGAUUCAGCUCUCUGUUUACGUAUUAGGUGGUUUGCAGUAAGUAGAAGGAAAAUGGUGACGGACAGUGCCUAUAUGUGCAUUAAUAACACCAUUUACAGAAAGAUCAACAGUGUUAUUAACCAGGGCUAACUUAAUUCCUGUGAUAAUUUUGAGCUUUUUAAUAGUUUAACAGUCUAAGUCUAUGCUAAAAAGUAAAAAAACAACAACAACAACAAAAAACAAGACACAUACUGCACAGAGACCAGGUAACUCUGAUCCCAGAAUGCAGACACUAAAUUCAGUCUGGGGUGUACAGUGAUUGAUCACACAUCUCUAUCCUAUUUCACUCUGAAUACUGUAAGCCAUAAAACUCCCUGCUCUAACAUAAGAACUUACUUUUACUUUCUUUUGGCACAAAGGAUAAUAUUUAGCAUGUUAAAUUAUUUAAAGAUUUUAAGUAAAAGGACAAUAUAUAUCAAAUAAUUGGUAAGAUGUUAUCACUUCAACAUCAUCAUAUAUUGGUUACAGAGGAAGGUACAAAAAGUAUGUGGAAAAAAUAAUAAUGUGCCAAUCCCAUGGCUCAUUCCACAAAAAGAAUGCACCAUCACAGGAAGACUAGAACUCAUUGAGAUCAUACUUCACAGCUUUCAGAAUGAAUUCAGUAAAUUCUAGAUUCUAUCAAAAAGAACCAUAUGCAUGAAAGAUAAUGAAAGAUAAUUAAAGAUAGGAAUAAGCCUUCAUGCAGCACGUUUUUUAUACAGUUUGGAAAUACAUUGUACCUAUACUGAAUAGAUAAUGGAGUUUGGCAGAAGCCAUGUAAGAGCAAGCUCUACCCAGAGACACAACUUCCUGACAGGCAGAGGGGACCUCAACUCUAACACAGAUGACAUAUUGACACUAUGGAAGAUCUCAAAAUGCAAUAUUAUUACCCCUCCUACUUGGCUCCACCAAAAUUAAAGUGGCAUCCAGAAGUCUCAGAAAUGCCAUCCAUCCUGACUUAGUUGCUUCUACCAGCACCAAUCCCAUGCCCGGCCCUGGCCCAGUGAAACACUGAACCAACCAGGGGACUGCAGUCAGAAGGGCACAGUGGGAGAAGGUUGCCAGCUGGUUUCAAUUCAAUCAUUCAAUAUUUACGUAGUGCCUGUAAACUACGUGCUAGGCACAGAGGAUACAAAAAUGGCCCCUUGUUCUGGAGGAAUUCAUAUUUGAGUAGGAAAAAAUGCAUGUAAACAAAUAAUAUUUGAAUUAAGUCAUGAAGGAUGAGAAGUAACAGACUUCUGAAGUGGACAGCUGUAAGAAAGACUAACAUGAGAGGAUUGACUCCAUAUUAAUCUUUUCUUUUCCCCCAAAUUUUCAUUAUUACCUUGUCCUAAAAAUUGGUCAUUAACACUAGGCCAUUUGACAUCCUACUGAAAUGAUUAUUUGGUUCACCACUACUACUCUUCUAAUCCCUUCAUCAAUCCCAUGCACUUCUCUCCUUUCCAUGUAAUGCCUUUUGCCUAUCCCUUGCAGCUUUGACACCAGCUAUCAUUGUCAUUGUGAACAACAUGGAAGUGUGCCCAGCAAAGGUCUAUUAGCUAUCAAUAAAAACCCUCUCCUCAA
Molecule: non-coding RNA, 1845 nt
Organism: Microcebus murinus (gray mouse lemur)
Lineage: Eukaryota; Metazoa; Chordata; Mammalia; Primates; Cheirogaleidae
Source: RefSeq, a predicted model, not a curated record